RNAcentral lists this ribosomal RNA (253 nucleotides) under uncultured bacterium. Its description in RNAcentral is "partial 16S ribosomal RNA". It matches the Rfam family "Bacterial small subunit ribosomal RNA", at positions 524 to 776 of the family's 1533-position model. The record is from RNAcentral.
UACGGAGGGUGCAAGCGUUAUCCGGAUUCACUGGGCUUAAAGGGUGCGUAGGUGGGUCUGUAAGUCCGUGGUGAAAUCUCCGAGCUUAACUUGGAAACUGCCAUGGAUACUAUAGAUCUUGAAUACUGUGGAGGUUAGCGGAAUAUGUCAUGUAGCGGUGAAAUGCUUAGAUAUGACAUAGAACACCAAUUGCGAAGGCAGCUGGCUACACAAAUAUUGACACUGAUGCACGAAAGCGUGGGGAUCAAACAGG